UCAAACCCAUUGUGUGCUGUC
RNAcentral lists this non-coding RNA (21 nucleotides) under Rattus norvegicus (Norway rat). Lineage: Eukaryota; Metazoa; Chordata; Mammalia; Rodentia; Muridae. The record is from RNAcentral.